RNAcentral lists this ribosomal RNA (465 nucleotides) under uncultured bacterium. RNAcentral describes it as "partial 16S ribosomal RNA". It matches the Rfam family "Bacterial small subunit ribosomal RNA", at positions 28 to 507 of the family's 1533-position model. The record is from RNAcentral.
GACGAACGCUGGCGACGUGCUUAACACAUGCAAGUCGAACGGAAAGGCCCCUUUGGGGGUACUCGAGUGGCGAACGGGUGAGUAACACGUGAGUAACCUGCCCUUGACUUCGGGAUAACUUCAGGAAACUGGGGCUAAUACCGGAUAGGAAUCCUUGCUGCAUGGUGGGGGUUGGAAAGCUUCGGCGGUUUUGGAUGGACUGGCGGCUUAUCAGCUUGUUGGUGGGGUAGUGGCUUACCAAGGCUUUGACGGGUAGCCGGCCUGAGAGGGCGACCGGCCACAUUGGGACUGAGAUACGGCCCAGACGCCUACGGGAGGCAGCAGUGGGGAAUAUUGCACAAGGGGCGGAAGCCUGAUGCAGCAACGCCGCGUGCGGGAGGACGGCCUUCGGGUUGUAAACCGCUUUCAGCAGGGGCGAAGCUUGUGGUGACGGUACCUGCAGAAGAAGCACCGGCUAACUACGUG